GACAGAGGGUGCAAACGUUGUUCGGAAUUACUGGGCGUAAAGAGCUCGUAGGUGGUUUGUCGCGUUGUUCGUGAAAACUCACAGCUCAACUGUGGGCGUGCGGGCGAUACGGGCAGACUGGAGUACUGCAGGGGAGACUGGAAUUCCUGGUGCAGCGGUGGAAUGCGCAGAUAUCAGGAGGAACACCGGUGGCGAAGGCGGGUCUCUGGGCAGUAACUGACGCUGAGGAGCGAAAGCGUGGGGAGCGAACAGG
RNAcentral lists this ribosomal RNA (253 nucleotides) under uncultured bacterium. Its description in RNAcentral is "partial 16S ribosomal RNA". It matches the Rfam family "Bacterial small subunit ribosomal RNA", at positions 524 to 776 of the family's 1533-position model. The record is from RNAcentral.